ACGCUUUAGCAACACAAAUAUUAAAAUGCAAGCAGUACAGAGAUUAGUGUGGCACCUAUGCAAGGAUGAUGUGCAGAUUUGUGAAACAUUCCAUAUUUAG
Molecule: small nuclear RNA, 100 nt
Filed under: Chinchilla lanigera (long-tailed chinchilla)
Lineage: Eukaryota; Metazoa; Chordata; Mammalia; Rodentia; Chinchillidae
Source: RNAcentral